AUUGAACGCUGGCGGCAGGCCUAACACAUGCAAGUCGAGCGGAUGAAGGGAGCUUGCUCCUGGAUUCAGCGGCGGGCGGGUGAGUAAUGCCUAGGAAUCUGCCUGGUAGUGGGGGAUAACGUCCGGAAACGGGCGCUAAUACCGCAUACGUCCUGAGGGAGAAAGUGGGGGAUCUUCGGACCUCACGCUAUCAGAUGAGCCUAGGUCGGAUUAGCUAGUUGGUGGGGUAAAGGCCUACCAAGGCGACGAUCCGUAACUGGUCUGAGAGGAUGAUCAGUCACACUGGAACUGAGACACGGUCCAGACUCCUACGGGAGGCAGCAGUGGGGAAUAUUGGACAAUGGGCGAAAGCCUGGUCCAGCCAUGCCGCGUGUGUGAAGAAGGUCUUCGGAUUGUAAAGCACUUUAAGUUGGGAGGAAGGGCAGUAAGUUAAUACCUUGCUGUUUUGACGUUACCAACAGAAUAAGCACCGGCUAACUUCGUG
RNAcentral lists this ribosomal RNA (484 nucleotides) under uncultured bacterium. RNAcentral describes it as "partial 16S ribosomal RNA". It matches the Rfam family "Bacterial small subunit ribosomal RNA", at positions 30 to 507 of the family's 1533-position model. The record is from RNAcentral.